ACGGGAGGCAGCAGUGGGGAAUAUUGCACAAUGGGGGAAACCCUGAUGCAGCGACGCCGCGUGAACGAUGAAGUAUUUCGGUAUGUAAAGUUCUAUCAGCAGGGAAGAUAAUGACGGUACCUGACUAAGAAGCACCGGCUAAAUACGUGCCAGCAGCCGCGGUAAUACGGAGGGUGCGAGCGUUAAUCGGAAUUACUGGGCGUAAAGCGCAUGUAGGCUGUACGGUAAGUCAGUGGUGAAAUCCCUGGGCCCAACCUGGGAACUGCCAUUGAAACUGCCGAACUGGAGUAUGAGAGAGGAUAGCGGAAUUCCAGGUGUAGGAGUGAAAUCCGUAGAUAUCUGGAAGAACAUCAGUGGCGAAGGCGGCUAUCUGGCUCAUUACUGACGCUGAGAUGCGAAAGCGUGGGUAGCAAACAGGAUUAGAUACCCUGGUA
Molecule: ribosomal RNA, 434 nt
Filed under: uncultured Bilophila sp.
Lineage: Bacteria; Pseudomonadati; Thermodesulfobacteriota; Desulfovibrionia; Desulfovibrionales; Desulfovibrionaceae
Description: partial 16S ribosomal RNA
Rfam family: Bacterial small subunit ribosomal RNA
Source: RNAcentral